UUCCGGUUGAUCCUGCCGGACCCGACUGCUAUCAGAGUGGGACUAAGCCAUGCGAGUCGACGUAGCAAUGCGUGGCGAACGGCUCAGUAAUACGUAGUCAACAUGCCCAGGGGACGUGGAUAACCUCGGGAAACUGAGAAUAAACCACGAUAGGUCACGAUUUCUGGAAUGGAUCAUGGCAUAAAUCUACAUGGCCCCUGGAUUGGACUGCGGCCGAUCAGGCAGUUGGUGAGGUAAUGGCCCACCAAACCUAUAACCGGUACGGGCUCUGAGAGGAGAAGCCCGGAGAUGGGCACUGAGACAAGGGCCCAGGCCCUAUGGGGCGCAGCAGGCGCGAAACCUCUGCAAUAGGCGAAAGCCUGACAGGGUUACUCUGAGUGAUUUCCGCUAAGGGGAUCUUUUGGCACCUCUAAAAAUGGUGCAGAAUAAGGGGUGGGCAAGUCUGGUGUCAGCCGCCGCGGUAAUACCAGCACCCCGAGUGGUCGGGACGAUUAUUGGGCCUAAAGCAUCCGUAGCCGGUUCUGCAAGUCUUCCGUUAAAUCCGGCCGCUCAACGGAUGGGCCGCGGAGGAUACUAUAGGACUAGGAGGCGGGAGAGGCAAGCGGUACUCAGUGGGUAGGGGUAAAAUCCUUUGAUCCAUUGAAGACCACCAGUGGCGAAGGCGGCUUGCCAGAACGCGCUCGACGGUGAGGGAUGAAAGCUGGGGGAGCAAACCGGAUUAGAUACCCGGGUAGUCCCAG
Molecule: ribosomal RNA, 740 nt
Filed under: uncultured archaeon
Lineage: Archaea
Description: bacterial SSU rRNA
Rfam family: Archaeal small subunit ribosomal RNA
Source: RNAcentral